Molecule: long non-coding RNA, 635 nt
Organism: Prunus persica (peach)
Lineage: Eukaryota; Viridiplantae; Streptophyta; Magnoliopsida; Rosales; Rosaceae
Exons: 3
Source: RefSeq, a predicted model, not a curated record
CUGGGUUUCAACAAUUUAACAGGCGAACUCCCAAGUUCUUUGUUCAACAUGAGUUCUCUUACAUAUUUAUUUCUUGGAAACAAUAGUCUGUCUGGACCUCUUCCAAGCCAAAAGAGCAAUCAACUUCAGACUAAUGUCAUAAAAGUAUGCUAUAUGUACUGGCAAUGAAACCAGUACUCUGUGUGUGUGUGCGCACGCAUUCUGGCAGCCUUUUUCUUACUUAAAUUCCUUUGAACUUUCAUGCAUUUUUGUGCCUUCUCAUUCUGUAUUGUUAUGUGCAGAGAUUUGUCUUACAACUAUUUCUCAGGAAGCUUUCCCCCAUGGGUGACCACAAUAUCACAACUGUAUGUCUCCUUUUUAUCUUUCACCUUCAUUUUUAUGGUCCAAAUCACCUUCAUUGUGCAUAUAUAAUACCACAUGAAUGAAAUUCAAUAAAUUAGAAGGGAUGGAUUUGAAGAACUGAUAUGUUGAGAUCUUGAACACGAAAUUUUCAUCUUCAUAUGUGGAUUGAUUAAUGAUUUUAUGCAGGAAUUUAGUGGUCAACAACUUCACAUUUGACAGUUCAAACAUAACUCUUCCUGGAUUGAAUUGCCUCCAGAGGAAUUUUCCAUGCAAUCGAAAUACCCCACGAUGUA